Molecule: ribosomal RNA, 465 nt
Filed under: Vreelandella stevensii
Lineage: Bacteria; Pseudomonadati; Pseudomonadota; Gammaproteobacteria; Oceanospirillales; Halomonadaceae
Description: partial 16S ribosomal RNA
Rfam family: Bacterial small subunit ribosomal RNA
Source: RNAcentral
CCUACGGGGGGCUGCAGUGGGGAAUAUUGGACAAUGGGGGGAACCCUGAUCCAGCCAUGCCGCGUGUGUGAAGAAGGCCCUCGGGUUGUAAAGCACUUUCAGUGAGGAAGAACGCCUGGUGGUUAAUACCCAUCAGGAAAGACAUCACUCACAGAAGAAGCACCGGCUAACUCCGUGCCAGCAGCCGCGGUAAUACGGAGGGUGCGAGCGUUAAUCGGAAUUACUGGGCGUAAAGCGCGCGUAGGUGGCUUGAUAAGCCGGUUGUGAAAGCCCCGGGCUCAACCUGGGAACGGCAUCCGGAGCUGUCGAGCUAGAGAGCAGGAGAGGAAGGUAGAAUUCCCGGUGUAGCGGGGAAAUGCGUAGAGAUCGGGAGGAAUACCAGUGGCGAAGGAGGCCUUCUGGACUGACACUGACACUGAGGUGCGAAAGCGUGGGUAGCAAACAGGAUUAGAUACCCGAGGAGUC